UGGGGAAUAUUGCACAAUGGGCGCAAGCCUGAUGCAGCCAUGCCGCGUGUAUGAAGAAGGCCUUCGGGUUGUAUAGUACUUUCAGCGGGGAGGAAGGUGUUGUGGUUAAUAACCACAGCAAUUGACGUUACCCGCAGAAGAAGCACCGGCUAACUCCGUGCCAGCAGCCGCGGUAAUACGGAGGGUGCAAGCGUUAAUCGGAAUUACUGGGCGUAAAGCGCACGCAGGCGGUCUGUCAAGUCGGAUGUGAAAUCCCCGGGCUCAACCUGGGAACUGCAUCCGAAACUGGCAGGCUUGAGUCUUGUAGAGGGGGGUAGAAUUCCAGGUGUAGCGGUGAAAUGCGUAGAGAUCUGGAGGAAUACCGGUGGCGAAGGCGGCCCCCUGGACAAAGACUGACGCUCAGGUGCGAAAGCGUGGGGAGCAAACA
RNAcentral lists this ribosomal RNA (427 nucleotides) under uncultured bacterium. Its description in RNAcentral is "partial 16S ribosomal RNA". It matches the Rfam family "Bacterial small subunit ribosomal RNA", at positions 355 to 774 of the family's 1533-position model. The record is from RNAcentral.